GGAUGGUCUGAAGGUAAUGAGUUAUCCCAACUGACUGUUCACAGUCAGUUACAGAUUGAACUUGUUCUACUCUUUCGCCCCCUUCUCACUAUUGCACUUAACUGGAAA
This is a Y RNA of Callithrix jacchus (white-tufted-ear marmoset), 108 nucleotides long. It matches the Rfam family "Y RNA". Rfam says of the family: Y RNAs are components of the Ro ribonucleoprotein particle (Ro RNP), in association with Ro60 and La proteins. The Y RNAs and Ro60 and La proteins are well conserved, but the function of the Ro RNP is not known. The record is from Ensembl. Lineage: Eukaryota; Metazoa; Chordata; Mammalia; Primates; Cebidae.